This 253-nucleotide ribosomal RNA is filed under the name uncultured bacterium. Its description in RNAcentral is "partial 16S ribosomal RNA". It matches the Rfam family "Bacterial small subunit ribosomal RNA", at positions 524 to 776 of the family's 1533-position model. The record is from RNAcentral.
UACGUAGGGUGCAAGCGUUGUCCGGAAUUAUUGGGCGUAAAGAGCUCGUAGGCGGUCUGUCGCGUCGGCUGUGAAAACCCGGAGCUCAACUCCGGGCCUGCAGUCGAUACGGGCAGACUGGAGUACUGCAGGGGAGACUGGAAUUCCUGGUGUAGCGGUGAAAUGCGCAGAUAUCAGGAGGAACACCGGUGGCGAAGGCGGGUCUCUGGGCAGUUACUGACGCUGAGGAGCGAAAGCGUGGGGGGCGAACAGG